GGGCCUGUAGCUCAGUUGGUUAGAGCAGUGGACUCAUAAUCCAUUGGUCGUAGGUUCGAGUCCUACCAGGCCCA
This 74-nucleotide transfer RNA is filed under the name Marinicella litoralis. It matches the Rfam family "tRNA". From Rfam's summary of the family: Transfer RNA (tRNA) molecules are approximately 80 nucleotides in length. Their secondary structure includes four short double-helical elements and three loops (D, anti-codon, and T loops). The record is from Rfam by way of RNAcentral. Lineage: Bacteria; Pseudomonadati; Pseudomonadota; Gammaproteobacteria; Lysobacterales; Marinicellaceae.